AUGGCGGCGAGCCGGCAAGGAACAACACCCCAGCUUUCUCCCUUUGCAUCGUUGUGGAUCAGCACCGCAGCAUCACGCACCAUGAGCGCAUCACCGUGCCAGUGUGUCAUCGUUUUGUCGUUAAAGGUCCAUCCACGAGGGAUACAACCGCGUCCCGAUCCCCGCCGCCGCGCGCCCGAUCUCCUCUGCCUCCCGAAUCCCAAUCGCGCCCCAAUCCCCACCGCCGGGCCCCGAUCUUCUCCGCCUCCUGUAUCCCGGUCGUGCCCCCGUCCCCGCCGUGGCGGCCGGAUUCCUGACGUUGCGACUGGAUCACGCCGCGUCCUGGCUAUCCAGUGUCCCACCGUCAACACCUUCCUUCUCCAAGGAUGGUGA
RNAcentral lists this ribosomal RNA (372 nucleotides) under Triticum aestivum (bread wheat). RNAcentral's name for it is "partial small subunit ribosomal RNA". Lineage: Eukaryota; Viridiplantae; Streptophyta; Magnoliopsida; Poales; Poaceae. The record is from RNAcentral.